RNAcentral lists this non-coding RNA (179 nucleotides) under Johnsonella ignava ATCC 51276. Its description in RNAcentral is "6S / SsrS RNA". It matches the Rfam family "6S / SsrS RNA". Rfam says of the family: E. coli 6S RNA was the first non coding RNA to be sequenced, but its function was unknown until recently. Lineage: Bacteria; Bacillati; Bacillota; Clostridia; Lachnospirales; Lachnospiraceae. The record is from Rfam by way of RNAcentral.
UAAUACCUGGGGUGUGCGACAACCUUACCAAUUUUGAACCUACACUUUGACCUACGGGGUCCAAGCAUUUUGUGAUUGGAUGUCGAGCCUCUUAUAAAGUGGAUGGCAGAAAACACAUUGAGGACACCCACCUAGCCCUGCUAGGCGUCAUAAUGUAAGAACGACAUUUUGGGAUUAUA